RNAcentral lists this ribosomal RNA (497 nucleotides) under uncultured bacterium. Its description in RNAcentral is "partial 16S ribosomal RNA". It matches the Rfam family "Bacterial small subunit ribosomal RNA", at positions 28 to 507 of the family's 1533-position model. The record is from RNAcentral.
GAUGAACGCUGGCGGCGUGCCUAAUACAUGCAAGUCGAGCGAACAGACGAGGAGCUUGCUCCUCUGACGUUAGCGGCGGACGGGUGAGUAACACGUGGAUAACCUACCUAUAAGACUGGGAUAACUUCGGGAAACCGGAGCUAAUACCGGAUAAUAUAUUGAACCGCAUGGUUCAAUAGUGAAAGACGGUUUUGCUGUCACUUAUAGAUGGAUCCGCGCCGCAUUAGCUAGUUGGUAAGGUAACGGCUUACCAAGGCGACGAUGCGUAGCCGACCUGAGAGGGUGAUCGGCCACACGGGAACUGAGACACGGUCCAGACACCUACGGGAGGCAGCAGUAGGGAAUCUUCCGCAAUGGGCGAAAGCCUGACGGAGCAACGCCGCGUGAGUGAUGAAGGUCUUCGGAUCGUAAAACUCUGUUAUUAGGGAAGAACAAAUGUGUAAGUAACUAUGCACGUCUUGACGGUACCUAAUCAGAAAGCCACGGCUAACUACGUG